UCCGUAGGUGAACCUGCGGAAGGAUCAUUAUCGAAUUCAAGCCCAACGCUUGUGCAUUAACUUGCACGCCGCCGGCUUCGCCUUCAUUCACACCUGUGCACCUUUGCGUUCGGCUUGCCGUCCGCUUUUUUUAACACCUUUUUGUAUGGCCUUGAAUUUAAAUUCGGUCGCUCUGUGAUGGAGUGGUCGUGAAAAAAUAAAUACAACUUUCAGCAACGGAUCUCUUGGCUCUCCCAUCGAUGAAGAACGCAGCGAACUGCGAUACGUAAUGUGAAUUGCAGAAUUCAGUGAAUCAUCGAAUCUUUGAACGCACCUUGCGCCGCUCGGUUUUCCGAGGGGCACGUCUGUUUGAGUGUCACGUUAAUUCCUCACUUUCCCUUCGGGUGAAGUGGACUUGGACCGUGCUGUCUGCCCUCGGGUGGACGGCUCGUCUCGAAUCAAUUGCUGCCUGCAGGGCCUUGCGCGGAGCGAGGCUGGCGAAACGGUGUGAUAUUUAUUAUCUGCGCUGAAGUAGUCGGUUUCGAGCUGCUGCACUUGGAGCGCCCUGGGCUUACAAUGAUAUUCGGAGGCUCGCCUCUGAUUUAUUCUACGUGUUUGACCUCAAAUCAGAUGGGACUACCCGCUGAACUUAAGCAUAUCAAUAAGCGGAGGA
This 652-nucleotide ribosomal RNA is filed under the name uncultured Inonotus. Its description in RNAcentral is "eukaryotic LSU rRNA". The stretch from base 205 to 358 matches the Rfam family "5.8S ribosomal RNA". The record is from RNAcentral. Lineage: Eukaryota; Fungi; Basidiomycota; Agaricomycetes; Hymenochaetales; Hymenochaetaceae.